RNAcentral lists this ribosomal RNA (480 nucleotides) under uncultured bacterium. RNAcentral describes it as "bacterial SSU rRNA". It matches the Rfam family "Bacterial small subunit ribosomal RNA", at positions 30 to 490 of the family's 1533-position model. The record is from RNAcentral.
AUUGAACGCUGGCGGCAUGCCUUACACAUGCAAGUCGAACGGCAGCACGGGAGCAAUCCUGGUGGCGAGUGGCGAACGGGUGAGUAAUAUAUCGGAACGUGCCCAGUCGUGGGGAUAACGUAGCGAAAGCUACGCUAAUACCGCAUACGAUCUAUGGAUGAAAGCGGGGGAUCGCAAGACCUCGCGCGAUUGGAGCGGCCGAUAUCAGAUUAGGUAGUUGGUGAGGUAAAGGCUCACCAAGCCGACGAUCUGUAGCUGGUCUGAGAGGACGACCAGCCACACUGGGACUGAGACACGGCCCAGACUCCUACGGGAGGCAGCAGUGGGGAAUUUUUGGGACAAUGGGCGCAAGCCUGAUCCAGCAAUGCCGCGUGCAGGAUGAAGGCCUUCGGGUGUUAAACGUAGCUUUUGUUACGGAACGAAAACCGGUAGGAAGCGUCUAAUACAAGUUUGCUAAUAGACGGUACCGUAAGGAAUAAG